RNAcentral lists this unclassified non-coding RNA (334 nucleotides) under soil metagenome. Its description in RNAcentral is "partial contains 5.8S ribosomal RNA, internal transcribed spacer 2, and large subunit ribosomal RNA". The stretch from base 1 to 120 matches the Rfam family "5.8S ribosomal RNA", at positions 35 to 154 of the family's 154-position model. The record is from RNAcentral.
GAUGAAGAACGUAGCGAAAUGCGAUACGUAAUGUGAAUUGCAGAAUUCAGUGAAUCAUCGAAUCUUUGAACGCACAUUGCGCCUGCCAGCACUCUGGCAGGCAUGCCUGUUCGAGCGUCAUUUCAACCAUCAAGCCCUAGGCUUGCGUUGGAGCCCUGCGGCUGCCGCAGGCCCCUAAAAGCAGUGGCGGGCUCGCUAUCACACCGAGUGCAGUAGAUUACUCUUCGCUCAGGGCGUGAGGCGGGUUCCAGCCGUGAAACCCCCUACUUCUCAAGGUUGACCUCGGAUCAGGUAGGAAUACCCGCUGAACUUAAGCAUAUCAAUAAGCGGAGGA